This 203-nucleotide long non-coding RNA is filed under the name Panax ginseng (ginseng). RNAcentral describes it as "long non-coding RNA (PGIN_LNC008363)". Lineage: Eukaryota; Viridiplantae; Streptophyta; Magnoliopsida; Apiales; Araliaceae. The record is from RNAcentral.
ACGGAGAUUCCCGACAAAAAGAAUAUUUCACGACCAAAUGAAUAUUCCCCGACAAUAAUGAAUAUUUUAUAACCACUUGCUUAUUUUGUAAACUUUGCACAUUUCACCCAUAACCAAAGAAUUAUAUCAAAUUAACCCUUAUUAAUUUAGAAUAAUGAAUAAAGGAAAAUUCAAUUUUAUUUAUAAUAAGUUGGGGUCUUACA